This is a long non-coding RNA of Junco hyemalis (dark-eyed junco), 1605 nucleotides long. NCBI's taxonomy places the organism in Eukaryota, Metazoa, Chordata, Aves, Passeriformes, Passerellidae. The record is from Ensembl.
UGAUGUCUGGACGUGAAGAACAAAGUACCGAGCCUGCAGAGAUGCUGAGAACCUGCGUUGCCCCUCGCCCCUUGCAAAGACCUCAUCUGGAACCAAAACGCCAAGACUGCAAAAGCCAAAAGUUGGUAAAAACACCGGGUUAUGCCCGCUGCUUUCAUGAGGAUAGGACCCCCCAGUUCUGCCCUUUAGUGGACAAAGCUGCACAUUCCUCCUCCUCCGAGUCACCCUGGGAGCGAUGAUGGAGUGGCCAUGGAUCCAAUGGAGUGGCCAUGGAUCUGUCGAGCCUCCCAACCUUGAGCUGAUCACUUUUAAUAAAGGCACUAAAAAGGAGAAAAAGCCUCCUGCCCUGUUGAUUUCAAUCCCGAUUUUUAAGCCCUGAUGGAGGGGGAAAGACCUCCGUGAGGCUUUGGCCGUGGUCAGCAUCCUCUCCUUCUUCCCUUCAGCUGCUCUUUGCCUUUCCAAGGAUUUCCCACUUGCUGGGUUUGUUUAACCGGGCUCCCCCGGAAAAGGUUAAUGGGGGAGACCAGAGCAACUCAGGGCAAUGAGGAGAGACAGACAGACAGACAGACAGACAGACAGACAGACGGGCACUACAGCUUUAACAGAGGUGAUCCCUCUCAGCGCUCCGUUCACAUGAAUUUCUCCAGUGGUUUCUGGGCACAGCCUCCCCUGGGUGUUUUCUGUGCUUUGUGUCACCCUCCAGCCCUCAAACCCUCUCUGGGAUUGUCCCUCCAUCCCCACCCACUCCUUCCCACAGCUCCCGGGGUGAACACCACGGUCUGGAGGCUUGGACGAGUCUCCAGGUGGAUGGAGGAUGGAAGGAUGUGCGGAUGAAGGGCUGGAGGGGCGAUAAGAGCAGCGUCACAGCGGAGAAAUUACUAAAUCCACCGAGCUCCUAAUGCAGGAGUGGGAAAUAAUCCCUUCAUCUGCAGCACAGCAGCAGCUCAGCUCCUUCUCGUGACCUCAGAUGCCUCCUCAGGCCGAGCAAGGUCCUCCAAGGACCAGCCUGAGGCUCUUCUACAGCUUCAGCCCCAGGAAACACCGAAAUAUUCACACACCAAAGAAGAACGAACUCUUCCUCCAAGAGAAUUGGUGUCCAAAACUUCCCAAGGCAGCCCAAAAUCCAUGGAGGCCAGCAGCCAGGAGAGUGGAGGCAGCUGGAGGAGUGCAGGACCAGGACAGCUCCUCCAGGGCUGCUCCAGGCAGGCAUCUUCCGGAAAGCUGCUGGGCUGGUGGAAGGUGCUCCUGCUCCUGGCUGCUGGGCAGGGGAGGAAUCUUGUUGCAGACAUCUUUUAUGGAAAAUCCCUUCCUUAGGAUUUUUCCUCCUGAGGAGCUGAGAGGCCUCAGGAACAAAAUGUAAACAUUGAUUAUCUGCUGCUGUGCAAUGCAACAGGUGGAUCUGUGAUUGGCUCAUGUUGGAUGUUUAUAAUUAAUGGCCAAUCACAGUCAGCUGGCUUGGACUCUCUGUCCGAGACACAAACCUUUGUUAUCAUUCUUUCCUUUCUAUUCUUAGCUAGCUUUCUGAUGAAACCAUUUCUUCUAUUAUUUUAGUAUAGUUUUAAUGUAAUAUAUAUCAAAAAAUAAUAAAUCAAGCCUUCUGAAACA